Molecule: transfer RNA, 57 nt
Filed under: Lucasium squarrosum (mottled ground gecko)
Lineage: Eukaryota; Metazoa; Chordata; Lepidosauria; Squamata; Diplodactylidae
Description: partial tRNA-Ala
Source: RNAcentral
CUUAGUUAAGUGUCUGAGUUGCAUUCAGGAGAUGUAUGUUAAGUUGUACAGGUCUUC